GGUUAAAACGCUCGUAGUUGGAUAUCUGUCAGCGCACGGUGCUCCGCCCAAGCGGUGUGUAGUCAUUAGUGUGCUGGCAUCAUCCUGGGGAGUGCAUCUGCACUUCACUGUGUGGGGUACGAGCCAGGACAUUUACUUUGAGGAAAUGAGAGUGUUUCAAGCAGGCGUCCGCCAUGAAUACGUUAGCAUGGAAUAAUAGUAUCGGACCUCGUCCCAAAGCUGUUGGUUUCUUGGGUCGAGGUAAAGGUGAAUAGGGAUUGUUGGGGGCAUUCGUAUUUAACUGUCAGAGGUGAAAUUCUUGGAUUUGUUGAAGACGCACUACUGCGAAAGCAUCUGCCAAAGAUGUUUUCAUUGAUCAAGAACGAAAGUUAGGUGAUCGAAGACGAUCAGAUACCGUCCUAGUCUUAACCAUAAACUAUGCCGACUGGAGAUGGGGGGUCGUUACUGUUAUGACGCCUUCUGCAUCUUGAGAGAAAUCAAAGUCUUUGGGUUCCGGGGGGAGUAUGGUCGCAAGGCUGAAACUUAAAGGAAUUGACGGAAGGGCACCACCAGGAGUGGAGCCUGCGGCUUAAUUUGACUCAACACGGGGAAACUUACCAGGUCCAGACAUAGAGAGGAUUGACAGACUGAUAGCUCUUUCGAGAUUCUAUGGGUGGUG
Molecule: ribosomal RNA, 658 nt
Filed under: uncultured marine eukaryote
Lineage: Eukaryota
Description: SSU rRNA
Rfam family: Eukaryotic small subunit ribosomal RNA
Source: RNAcentral